CAGUCGCCGCGGGAAUACAGAGGGUGCAAGCGUUAAUCGGAAUUACUGGGCGUAAAGCGUGCGCAGGCGGUUAUAUAAGUCAGAUGUGAAAUCCCCGGGCUCAACCUGGGAACUGCAUUUGAGACUGUAUGGCUAGAGUGUGUUAGAGGGGGGUAGAAUUCCACGUGUAGCAGUGAAAUGCGUAGAUAUGUGGAGGAAUACCGAUGGCGAAGGCAGCCCCCUGGGAUAACACUGACGCUCAUGCACGAAAGCGUGGGGAGCAAACAGGAUUAGAUACCCCCGUAGUCCCUGUCUCUUAUAC
RNAcentral lists this ribosomal RNA (301 nucleotides) under uncultured bacterium. RNAcentral's name for it is "partial 16S ribosomal RNA". It matches the Rfam family "Bacterial small subunit ribosomal RNA", at positions 509 to 807 of the family's 1533-position model. The record is from RNAcentral.